GAUGAAGAACGCAGCAAAAUGCGAUAAGUAAUGUGAAUUGCAGAAUUCAGUGAAUCAUCGAAUCUUUGAACGCACAUUGCGCCCGCUGGUAUUCCGGCGGGCAUGCCUGUUCGAGCGUCAUUUCAACCCUCAAGCCCCCGGGUUUGGUGUUGGGGAUCGGCUCUGCCCUUCUGGGCGAUGCCGCCCCCGAAAUACAUUGGCGGUCUCGCUGCAGCCUCCAUUGCGUAGUAGCUAACACCUCGCAACUGGAACGCGGCGCGGCCAUGCCGUAAAACCCCAACUUCUGAAUGUUGACCUCGGAUCAGGUAGGAAUACCCGCUGAACUUAAGCAUAUCAAUAAGCGGAGGA
This 348-nucleotide unclassified non-coding RNA is filed under the name soil metagenome. RNAcentral describes it as "partial contains 5.8S ribosomal RNA, internal transcribed spacer 2, and large subunit ribosomal RNA". The stretch from base 1 to 120 matches the Rfam family "5.8S ribosomal RNA", at positions 35 to 154 of the family's 154-position model. The record is from RNAcentral.